Molecule: ribosomal RNA, 535 nt
Filed under: uncultured bacterium
Lineage: Bacteria
Description: partial 16S ribosomal RNA
Rfam family: Bacterial small subunit ribosomal RNA
Source: RNAcentral
UGGGGAAUUUUGGACAAUGGGGGAAACCCUGAUCCAGCCAUCCCGCGUGUGCGAUGAAGGCCUUCGGGUUGUAAAGCACUUUUGGCAGGAAAGAAACGUCGCGGGUUAAUACCCCGCGAAACUGACGGUACCUGCAGAAUAAGCACCGGCUAACUACGUGCCAGCAGCCGCGGUAAUACGUAGGGUGCAAGCGUUAAUCGGAAUUACUGGGCGUAAAGCGUGCGCAGGCGGUUCGGAAAGAAAGAUGUGAAAUCCCAGAGCUUAACUUUGGAACUGCAUUUUUAACUACCGGGCUAGAGUGUGUCAGAGGGAGGUGGAAUUCCGCGUGUAGCAGUGAAAUGCGUAGAUAUGCGGAGGAACACCGAUGGCGAAGGCAGCCUCCCGGGAUAACACUGACGCUCAUGCACGAAAGCGUGGGGAGCAAACAGGAUUAGAUACCCUGGUAGUCCACGCCCUAAACGAUGUCAACUAGCUGUUGGGGCCUUCGGGCCUUGGUAGCGCAGCUAACGCGUGAAGUUGACCGCCUGGGGAGUAC